RNAcentral lists this long non-coding RNA (916 nucleotides) under Gallus gallus (chicken). The record is from RNAcentral. Lineage: Eukaryota; Metazoa; Chordata; Aves; Galliformes; Phasianidae.
CUUCUUGGAAGAUGAGCUGUAGGAUGAUUUGGUUUGAACAAAUGUGCUGCUGCUGCCAUUGUCUGAUCUCUUCACAUAACUUGACUCCAUGGUUGUUGUGCGGGAAGUCUUGCUGCCAUCAUUAGACUGGAUGAGGCGCUCGGUUUUGGUGACAGUGCUGCGGGCUGAGCCGUCGGCUGACUGGGUGCUCUGCGUGGUGGUGGUCUCAGUGUUGUGGCCAGCCCUGCUCACUGUAGCCUGGCUCUUCAUCUCCUGCAGCCGCUGGUCCCGCUCCUUCUCCCGCUGGUCUCGCUUGCGCUGGCGCAGCUCCCGCAUGGCAUUACGGAUCAGCCGUCGCUCCUCAAAGUCUGUGGUCUGAUCCAGCAUCUUAUCCAGAACAUCCUCGUCCUCAAUCCUGUUCAACUCCUCGACAUUCAGCUUGCUCUUCUUCUCCACUUCCCUCACUUGGACCUUCUCCAUGCCAUUGGGCAGCUCUGGCUGCAGCCUCGGUGCCUGGGGCUGCUCCACCACCAGCUCCGGUUCCAUCGGAAAGCUGUUGCUCCGGGAGAGGUGCAGCUGACGCGUGCUGGAGAAAGUGGGUGGAUGGGCCACCGGGCUGCCGGACUCCUCGGUGCCCUCAAAAUGAGCGCAAGGGUCCUGUGCUUCCAGAAACAGGGUGCUGAGGUCCUUCUCCGCGGGUUCCGGCGGUGCCAGCCAUAGGGCCAGCAGGUCCAGCCGGCGGCCCAGGCGCGCCUGCUCAGCCCGCAGCACCAGGUGCUCCUCCUCCAGAUCCCGCAGGGCGCGGGCCAGGGGCUGCACCUGCCGCACGGCCUGCUCCAGCUGCCCCUCCACUGCCCGCCCGAAGGCCUGCAGCUCCCGCCGCAGCUCCUCCAGCUCGGCCGCCCCGGCCUGCGCCAGGGCCUCCAGGCCGACCCCC